GAGACCAGAAAGUUUUCGAAACUGCGUGAGUGGAAGUCUGCGUUGGACAAAUUUUGAAAAUAUCUGAAGGUUUAACGAAUUUUGGAGAAUUCGACAGAGCUACAGACUACGAAACCUUUCGAAACGAACACACGUGUCCUGUUGAACUUGAAAAAAGACGAAAUUAUUUUUAAAAAGAUCAUGGUAACUCGUGAAGCAACAUCUCAGAAUUGAAUCGGGGAACGAGGAAUCAAAAAAAGGUUAACAAUUUGGAUCAUUUUGGAAGAUACAUACGCCGCGCUUUUCAAAGCGGACAGACGUGCCCUUGUCCAACUGAAACGAACACACGUGUCCUGUUGAACUUGAAAAAAGACGAAAUUAUUUUAAAAAGAUCAUGGUAACUCGUGAAGCAACAUCUCAGAAUUGAAUCGGGGAGUUGUGUAUUUGCUGGCAAUCCGGGCCUGCUUGGAUCAUUUUGGAAGAUACAUACGCCUGCGCUUUUCAAAGCGGACAGACGUGCCCGUGUCCCACUUGACAAAGGCGGAAUUAUUUUAGGAAAGACCAUGGCAACUAGUAAAGCAGAAUCCGAGAAUUCAAUCGGCGGCUGUAUGUUGACUGACAAGAAUAUAAUUGCUGUUAAUCCGGCCCUGCUUCUUGUACAAAUGCAUAGUGGGGAGACAUGAACAUUUUUCGAAAUUGCGGCCCUAUCCUCUUGGGAUUCUACGUUGGACAAAUUCUGAAAACGACCCAGAAAUAUAAUUGGAGGUUCAAACCCGUGCGAGGUGAGGUUUGAUAUAUGAAACAGACCAGUCAUGGGGACACGAGAUAUGGAAAGUUUCAGCGUAGUCGUCGCCACAUUGCUGCCAACACUGCAUAUAUAAGGAAUCACGAACCAUUCAGGUAAAAUUUUGAAAACACAUAGUUAUGGCAAUAUAGAACCUCUCUUUUUUUAACAGGAAUAUUGAGACUUAGACCAGUAUCUUUUAAGUAGGCAUGUGGGGUAAAGAAGACGCAGAAGCUUCAGUCGGGUACCAUCGGUAACGUAGGCGAUUGAUAUAUUUCCACCACUACCUAUGUUGGAUUGGAAUUUCCCAUUUGAUGCUUUGACUGACUAAAUGAGGAAACUUGGAGAUAUUAUUGGUGGUGCCUGCCAGCUUCCAGUUCCGAGAAAAGAAAUCCAACACUUUUCGUCUUUAUUUCCCCUGUCCUUUGUGCGCAAUAAAAGUACAGUUU
Cylas formicarius (sweet potato weevil) is the source of this 1212-nucleotide long non-coding RNA. RefSeq lists it as uncharacterized. The record is from RefSeq and is a predicted model, not a curated record. The transcript is spliced from 6 exons. Lineage: Eukaryota; Metazoa; Arthropoda; Insecta; Coleoptera; Brentidae.